UGCAGUCGAGCGGUAAGGCCCUUCGGGGUACACGAGCGGCGAACGGGUGAGUAACACGUGGGUGAUCUGCCUCGCACUUCGGGAUAAGCCUGGGAAACUGGGUCUAAUACCGGAUAUGACCACGGAUCGCAUGGUUUGUGGUGGAAAGAUUUAUCGGUGCGAGAUGGGCCCGCGGCCUAUCAGCUUGUUGGUGGGGUAAUGGCCUACCAAGGCGACGACGGGUAGCCGACCUGAGAGGGUGACCGGCCACACUGGGACUGAGACACGGCCCAGACUCCUACGGGAGGCAGCAGUGGGGAAUAUUGCACAAUGGGCGGAAGCCUGAUGCAGCGACGCCGCGUGAGGGAUGACGGCCUUCGGGUUGUAAACCUCUUUCGACAGGGACGAAGCGCAAGUGACGGUACCUGUAGAAGAAGCACCGGCCAACUACGUGCCAGCAGCCGCGGUAAUACGUAGGGUGCGAGCGUUGUCCGGAAUUACUGGGCGUAAAGAGCUUGUAGGCGGUUUGUCGCGUCUUCUGUGAAAACUUGGGGCUCAACCUUAAGCUUGCAGGGGAUACGGGCAGACUAGAGUACUUCAGGGGAGACUGGAAUUCCUGGUGUAGCGGUGAAAUGCGCAGAUAUCAGGAGGAACACCGGUGGCGAAGGCGGGUCUCUGGGAAGUAACUGACGCUGAGAAGCGAAAGCGUGGGUAGCGAACAGGAUUAGAUACCCUGGUAGUCCACGCCGUAAACGGUGGGUACUAGGUGUGGGUUUCCUUCCACGGGAUCCGUGCCGUAGCUAACGCAUUAAGUACCCCGCCUGGGGAGUACGGCCGCAAGGCUAAAACUCAAAGGAAUUGACGGGGGCCCGCACAAGCGGCGGAGCAUGUGGAU
This 874-nucleotide ribosomal RNA is filed under the name Nocardia sp. RNAcentral describes it as "bacterial SSU rRNA". It matches the Rfam family "Bacterial small subunit ribosomal RNA", at positions 56 to 946 of the family's 1533-position model. The record is from RNAcentral. Lineage: Bacteria; Bacillati; Actinomycetota; Actinomycetes; Mycobacteriales; Nocardiaceae.